This 468-nucleotide ribosomal RNA is filed under the name uncultured bacterium. Its description in RNAcentral is "partial 16S ribosomal RNA". It matches the Rfam family "Bacterial small subunit ribosomal RNA", at positions 28 to 507 of the family's 1533-position model. The record is from RNAcentral.
GACGAACGCUGGCGGCGUGCUUAACACAUGCAAGUCGAACGGAAAGGCCCUGCUUUUGUGGGGUGCUCGAGUGGCGAACGGGGGAGUAACACGUGAGUAACCUGCCCUUGACUUUGGGAUAACUUCAGGAAACUGGGGCUAAUACCGGAUAUGAGCUCCUGCUGCAGGGUGGGGGUUGGAAAGUUUCGGCGGUGGGGGAUGGACUGGCGGCUUAUCAGCUUGUUGGUGGGGUAGUGGCUUACCAAGGCUUUGACGGGUAGCCGGCCUGGGAGGGUGACCGGCCACAUUGGGCCUGAGAUACGGCCCAGACUGCUACGGGAGGCAGAAGUGGGAAAUAUUGCACAAUGGGCGGACGCCUGAUGCAGCGACGCCGCGUGCGGGAUGCCGGCCUUCGGGUUGUAAACCGCUUUCGCCUGUGACGAAGCGUGAGUGACGGUAAUGGGUAAAGAAGCACCGGCUAACUACGUG